GAGCGCAGGAAGCAGGCAGAUCCCCUUCGGGGGUGAUGCCUGUGGAAUGAGCGGCGGACGGGUGAGUAACACGUGGGCAACCUGCCUGUAAGAUCGGAAUAACUCCGGGAAACCGGGGCUAAUGCCGGGUAAUCCUUUUUUUCGCAUGAGAGAGAGGUAAAAGAUGGCCUUUGGCUAUCACUUACAGAUGGGCCCGCGGCGCAUUAGCUAGUUGGUGAGGUAAUAGCUCACCAAGGCGACGAUGCGUAGCCGACCUGAGAGGGUGAUCGGCCACACUGGGACUGAGACACGGCCCAGACUCCUACGGGAGGCAGCAGUAGGGAAUCUUCCGCAAUGGACGAAAGUCUGACGGAGCAACGCCGCGUGAACGAUGAAGGUCUUCGGAUCGUAAAGUUCUGUUGUUAGGGAAGAACAAGUACCGUGCGAAUAGAGCGGUACCUUGACGGUACCUAACGAGGAAGCCCCGGCUAACUACGUGCCAGCAGCCGCGGUAAUACGUAGGGGGCAAGCGUUGUCCGGAAUUAUUGGGCGUAAAGCGCGCG
RNAcentral lists this ribosomal RNA (542 nucleotides) under Halobacillus hunanensis. Its description in RNAcentral is "bacterial SSU rRNA". It matches the Rfam family "Bacterial small subunit ribosomal RNA", at positions 42 to 571 of the family's 1533-position model. Lineage: Bacteria; Bacillati; Bacillota; Bacilli; Caryophanales; Bacillaceae. The record is from RNAcentral.